AGAAGAAUGGAGCUGUGGGAGUCAAACAGGGGUCUGUUAUGAUUUCCAGGGCUGAGGGGCCCAGGAAGGGCUUCUUCCAGGGGCUACGCAGAGAAUCAGAGCUCCUCUUAUAGAACACAGAUGCUCCAUUGGAAGGAAGCAGUUCCGAUCAAAAGUUGGGCAGCAUCCAGGGUCAUGAACUUAGAUCCUAAAAUAUCUGUGACCAGACCAGCCGGCAAGGAUUUCCUGCCGACCCAGAAGCUGAAAGGAUUCUAUGUUGGCACACACAGAACCACACUGCUGCUCACACCGCACGUGUCUAGCAGAGCUUCCAGGCUUUCAAACAGGCCAAGUGGAGGACCCCUUCACCUCUACGGAAAACUGAUGACCUCAGACACCAUCCAGUGAUACUGUGACCUCUUAAAGGAAUACAUGGCAAUGAAGGCAGUAGAGGGAUCAAGUCAGGAGGUGACUGGAUGUGUCUGGAAAUUCGCUGGGAACACUAACACACUGUAAGUCAGGUCUUACUCUUACCUUAGCAGUGGGGGUUAUGCGAAUAUUGUCAAGUCUACCUUAUGGCUACUUCUGCUUAGCUUUUGCAGUCUACUCGUUUCUUUUUUCCCACACACUUCUCUCUCCUUUAUCCUGCCACACACACACCAAACCGCCUUUCUGAAGGUCUG
RNAcentral lists this long non-coding RNA (662 nucleotides) under Chinchilla lanigera (long-tailed chinchilla). Its description in RNAcentral is "lncRNA (ENSCLAG00000026101.1)". The record is from RNAcentral. Lineage: Eukaryota; Metazoa; Chordata; Mammalia; Rodentia; Chinchillidae.